UACGGAGGGUGCAAGCGUUAUUCGGAUUUACUGGGCGUAAAGGGCGCGUAGGCGGUUUAGCAAGUCAGAUGUGAAAUCCCGGGGCUUAACUUCGGAAGUGCAUCUGAUACUGUUUGGCUUGAGUAUGGUAGAGGGAAGUGGAAUUCCUGGUGUAGCGGUGAAAUGCGUAGAUAUCAGGAGGAACACCGGUGGCGAAGGCGACUUCCUGGACCAAAACUGACGCUGAGGCGCGAAGGUGUGGGGAG
Molecule: ribosomal RNA, 245 nt
Filed under: uncultured Desulfobacteraceae bacterium
Lineage: Bacteria; Pseudomonadati; Thermodesulfobacteriota; Desulfobacteria; Desulfobacterales; Desulfobacteraceae
Description: partial 16S ribosomal RNA
Rfam family: Bacterial small subunit ribosomal RNA
Source: RNAcentral